UAAUACGUAGGGACCAAGCGUUGUUCGGAUUUACUGGGCGUAAAGGGCGCGUAGGCGGCAAUUCAAGUCAGUUGUGAAAUCUCCGAGCUUAACUCGGAACGGUCAACUGAUACUGUUUUGCUAGAGUGCAGAAAGGGCAACCGGAAUUCUUGGUGUAGCGGUGAAAUGCGUAGAUAUCAAGAGGAACACCUGAGGCGAAGGCGGGUUGCUAGGCUGACACUGACGCUGAGGCGCGAAAGCUAGGGUAGCAAACGGGAUUAGAUACCCCGGUAGUCCUAGCCCUAAACGAUGUAUGCUUGGUGUCUGGAGUUUUUAUCUCUGGGUGCCGUCGCUAACGCUUUUAGCAUACCGCCUGGGGAGUACGCUCGCAAGAGUG
Molecule: ribosomal RNA, 376 nt
Filed under: uncultured bacterium
Lineage: Bacteria
Description: bacterial SSU rRNA
Rfam family: Bacterial small subunit ribosomal RNA
Source: RNAcentral